GGGGGUUUAGCUCAGCUGGGAGAGCAUCUGCCUUACAAGCAGAGGGUCACAGGUUCGAGCCCUGUAGGUCCCA
Molecule: transfer RNA, 73 nt
Filed under: Roseburia sp.
Lineage: Bacteria; Bacillati; Bacillota; Clostridia; Lachnospirales; Lachnospiraceae
Description: tRNA-Val
Rfam family: tRNA
About the family: Transfer RNA (tRNA) molecules are approximately 80 nucleotides in length. Their secondary structure includes four short double-helical elements and three loops (D, anti-codon, and T loops). Further hydrogen bonds mediate the characteristic L-shaped molecular structure. tRNAs have two regions of fundamental functional importance: the anti-codon, which is responsible for specific mRNA codon recognition, and the 3' end, to which the tRNAs corresponding amino acid is attached (by aminoacyl-tRNA synthetases). tRNAs cope with the degeneracy of the genetic code in two manners: having more than one tRNA (with a specific anti-codon) for a particular amino acid; and 'wobble' base-pairing, i.e. permitting non-standard base-pairing at the 3rd anti-codon position.
Source: RNAcentral